Molecule: ribosomal RNA, 493 nt
Filed under: Erysiphe quercicola
Lineage: Eukaryota; Fungi; Ascomycota; Leotiomycetes; Helotiales; Erysiphaceae
Description: partial large subunit ribosomal RNA
Rfam family: Eukaryotic large subunit ribosomal RNA
Source: RNAcentral
CGAGUCGAGUUGUUUGGGAAUGCAGCUCAAAAUGGGUGGUAAAUUUCAUCUAAAGCUAAAUAUGGGCCAGAGACCGAUAGCGCACAAGUAGAGUGAUCGAAAGAUGAAAAGCACUUUGGAAAGAGAGUUAAACAGUACGUGAAAUUGUUGAAAGGGAAGCGCUUGCAACCAGACUUGGGCGCUGCCGAUCACCUUGAGUUUUCUCGAGUGCACUCGACAGCGCACAGGCCAGCAUCGGUUCGGGUGGCUGGAUAAAGGCCGUAGGAAUGUGGCUCUCUUCGGGGAGUGUUAUAGCCUACGGUGCCAUGCAGCCCAGCCGGACCGAGGACCGCGCCUUCGGGCUAGGAUGCUGGCGUAAUGGUUGUAAGCGACCCGUCUUGAAACACGGACCAAGGAGUCUAACAUCUAUGCGAGUGUUUGGGUGGUAAACCCAUACGCGGAAUGAAAGUGAACGUAGGUGAGAACCCCUUUGGGGCGCAUCAUCGACCGAUCC